AAUCAACACCAUACCAUGUUGAAAGCACCGGUUCUCGUCCGAUCACUGCAGGUAAGCAACGUUGGACCCGGUCAGUACUUGUACGUCUCCAAAUGCUAUGGUACGACUGAGGGUGGGAAGAGUC
RNAcentral lists this ribosomal RNA (124 nucleotides) under Schistosoma margrebowiei. The record is from RNAcentral. Lineage: Eukaryota; Metazoa; Platyhelminthes; Trematoda; Strigeidida; Schistosomatidae.